RNAcentral lists this ribosomal RNA (430 nucleotides) under Bacillota bacterium. Its description in RNAcentral is "Firmicutes bacterium partial 16S ribosomal RNA". It matches the Rfam family "Bacterial small subunit ribosomal RNA", at positions 355 to 776 of the family's 1533-position model. Lineage: Bacteria; Bacillati; Bacillota. The record is from RNAcentral.
UGGGGAAUAUUGGACAAUGGGCGCAAGCCUGAUCCAGCCAUGCCGCGUGUGUGAAGAAGGCCUUUUGGUUGUAAAGCACUUUAAGCGAGGAGGAGGCUACUUGGAUUAAUACUCUAAGAUAGUGGACGUUACUCGCAGAAUAAGCACCGGCUAACUCUGUGCCAGCAGCCGCGGUAAUACAGAGGGUGCGAGCGUUAAUCGGAUUUACUGGGCGUAAAGCGUGCGUAGGCGGCUUCUUAAGUCGGAUGUGAAAUCCCUGAGCUUAACUUAGGAAUUGCAUUCGAUACUGGGAAGCUAGAGUAUGGGAGAGGAUGGUAGAAUUCCAGGUGUAGCGGUGAAAUGCGUAGAGAUCUGGAAGAAUACCGAUGGCGAAGGCAGCCAUCUAGCCUAAUACUAACGCUGAGGUACGAAAGCAUGGGGAGCAAACAGG